AAAUUGAAGAGUUUGAUCAUGGCUCAGAUUGAACGCUGGCGGCAGGCCUAACACAUGCAAGUCGAGCGGAAACGAGUCAUCAGAACCUUCGGGGAACGAUAACGGCGUCGAGCGGCGGACGGGUGAGUAAUGCCUAGGAAAUUGCCCUGAUGUGGGGGAUAACCAUUGGAAACGAUGGCUAAUACCGCAUGAUGCCUACGGGCCAAAGAGGGGGACCUUCGGGCCUCUCGCGUCAGGAUAUGCCUAGGUGGGAUUAGCUAGUUGGUGAGGUAAGGGCUCACCAAGGCGACGAUCCCUAGCUGGUCUGAGAGGAUGAUCAGCCACACUGGAACUGAGACACGGUCCAGACUCCUACGGGAGGCAGCAGUGGGGAAUAUUGCACAAUGGGCGCAAGCCUGAUGCAGCCAUGCCGCGUGUGUGAAGAAGGCCUUCGGGUUGUAAAGCACUUUCAGUCGUGAGGAAGGUGGUAGUGUUAAUAGCACUAU
This 485-nucleotide ribosomal RNA is filed under the name Vibrio parahaemolyticus. RNAcentral describes it as "bacterial SSU rRNA". It matches the Rfam family "Bacterial small subunit ribosomal RNA", at positions 1 to 469 of the family's 1533-position model. Lineage: Bacteria; Pseudomonadati; Pseudomonadota; Gammaproteobacteria; Vibrionales; Vibrionaceae. The record is from RNAcentral.